Molecule: ribosomal RNA, 393 nt
Filed under: Desmodesmus sp.
Lineage: Eukaryota; Viridiplantae; Chlorophyta; Chlorophyceae; Sphaeropleales; Scenedesmaceae
Description: SSU rRNA
Rfam family: Eukaryotic small subunit ribosomal RNA
Source: RNAcentral
CUCGUAGUUGGAUUUCGGGUGGGUUUCAGCGGUCCGCCUAUGGUGAGUACUGCUGUGGCCUAUCUUACUGUCGGGGACCUGCUUCUGGGCUUCAUUGUCCGGGACAGGGAUUCGGCAUGGUUACUUUGAGUAAAUUAGAGUGUUCAAAGCAGGCUUACGCCGUGAAUACUUUAGCAUGGAAUAACACUAUAGGACUCUGCCCUAUUGUGUUGGCCUGUAGGAGUGGAGUAAUGAUUAAGAGGAACAGUCGGGGGCAUUCGUAUUUCAUUGUCAGAGGUGAAAUUCUUGGAUUUAUGAAAGACGAACUACUGCGAAAGCAUUUGCCAAGGAUGUUUUCAUUAAUCAAGAACGAAAGUUGGGGGCUCGAAGACGAUUAGAUNNNNUUCGUAGUCA